AGUGAACGCUGGCGGUAGGCCUAACACAUGCAAGUCGAACGGCAGCACAGUAAGAGCUUGCUCUUACGGGUGGCGAGUGGCGGACGGGUGAGGAAUACAUCGGAAUCUACUUUUUCGUGGGGGAUAACGUAGGGAAACUUACGCUAAUACCGCAUACGACCUACGGGUGAAAGCAGGGGAUCUUCGGACCUUGCGCGAUUGAAUGAGCCGAUGUCGGAUUAGCUAGUUGGCGGGGUAAAGGCCCACCAAGGCGACGAUCCGUAGCUGGUCUGAGAGGAUGAUCAGCCGCACUGGAACUGGGACACGGUCCAGGCUCCUACGGGAGGCAGCAGUGGGGAAUAUUAGGCAAUGGGCGCAAGCCUGAUCCAGCCAUACCGCGUGGGUGAAGAAGGCCUUCGGGUUGUAAAGCCCUUUUGUUGGGAAAGAAACGCAGCAGGUUAAUACGCCGCUGUUCUGACGGUACCCGAAGAAUAAGCACCGGCUAACUUCGUG
This 492-nucleotide ribosomal RNA is filed under the name uncultured bacterium. RNAcentral describes it as "partial 16S ribosomal RNA". It matches the Rfam family "Bacterial small subunit ribosomal RNA", at positions 29 to 507 of the family's 1533-position model. The record is from RNAcentral.